RNAcentral lists this ribosomal RNA (439 nucleotides) under uncultured bacterium. RNAcentral's name for it is "partial 16S ribosomal RNA". It matches the Rfam family "Bacterial small subunit ribosomal RNA", at positions 339 to 795 of the family's 1533-position model. The record is from RNAcentral.
CUACGGGUCGCUGCAGUGAGGAAUAUUGCACAAUGGGGGGAACCCUGAUGCAGCAACGCCGCGUGGAGGAUGACGCAUUUCGGUGUGUAAACUCCUUUUAUAUGUCAAGAAAAUGACGGUAGCAUAUGAAUAAGCACCGGCUAACUCCGUGCCAGCAGCCGCGGUAAUACGGAGGGUGCAAGCGUUACUCGGAAUCACUGGGCGUAAAGGACGCGUAGGCGGGUUGGAAAGUCAGGUGUGAAAUCCUACAGCUUAACUGUAGAACUGCACUUGAAACUUCUAAUCUAGAGUAUGGGAGGGGGAGAUGGAAUUAGUGGCGUAGGGGUAAAAUCCGUAGAUACCACUAGGAAUACCUAAAGCGAAGGCGAUCUCCUGGAACAUUACUGACGCUAAGGCGUGAAAGCGUGGGGAGCAAACAGGAUUAGAUACCCCGGUAGUC